RNAcentral lists this unclassified non-coding RNA (3895 nucleotides) under Hevea brasiliensis (rubber tree). Lineage: Eukaryota; Viridiplantae; Streptophyta; Magnoliopsida; Malpighiales; Euphorbiaceae. The record is from RNAcentral.
UGUACAGCUAAAGAAGUUGAGGAUUUUGGAGGGAACAGUUAAAGCUUGUUUUAGUUGUAUCUUGCCCCAGCUGAGUUGAGAAAAUGAGUUUGGAAGAAGAUGGAGAUGAACUUCAAGAUCUGAUGCCUAAAAUAAUGGAGAACCUCAAGAUCUUCGAGGGCAGAGUAGUGUUUAAUAAGAAUGAAGAGAAUUACGCACAGAAGGCUCUUGAAGAUUUGAUUGAGGCGACGAAGGACAGACCAGAUCUGCUUCUGAAUUGGAUUGAUGAGAUAUUUGAAUGUAUGUAUAAAAUCUUGAAAAACCAGAAUUUUAAUGAGAGAACAAGGUUUCUUGCGACGGAAAUUGUGGCGCAAAUUUUCUCGAAUUUUAGGGAACCAGAAGCAGUGCCUUACCAUACUGGAAGGUUUAUUUCUCAAAUAUUUUCUAUGCUUAAGGCCAUUGAUGAUUACCCAGCAUGGGAUGAGAAAAAGUUGGAAAAGAACUGGAGUUUACAUUUUCAGGGAAAAAAGAGGUUGGCUCGAUUUGCACCUGCCAUGGGUGGCCAAUUUCUUCUGAAGAAAUUCAGUGCAAUGUUUGAAUCACACUACAAUUCUGAUGAAUGGCAAAGCCGCCAUGCUGCUGUUGUAUCCAAUGUCAUUAUCGCCUGUGCUUGCUCUAAGGAAUUAAUAAACAAGUUGGAUCUUGUGGUAGAACCAGCCAUGAAAGCUGUUGAAGACGCCCACUUUCAUGUACGUUGGGCGGCCUUGAAUGCAAUUGAGGAGUUUUCCAAGAAAUUGAACCCUGGAUUUCAGCAUCAGUAUUAUAAUCAAGUGCUUCCUCCUCUAAUAAAGGCCUCAAAUUAUUUCCAGAAUCCCCGCAUUCAGUUGCAAGCUGUUAAGGCAUUAUCUUAUUUUGCUCAGCAUUGCAAUUCAGAUCUCUUGACACCUUACAUAGAUGAAAUUGUCAAUAUGCUGCUUAGGUGCCUACAGAGAGGACCACAAGUAUUGAAUGAGGCAGCUUUAAUGGGGUUAGCAUCUCUUGCUGCGUCAUUAAAGGAUAGUUUCCAAGAGUAUUACGGAACUGUUAUGCCUUACAUGAAAGUGAUAAUGAUGAAAGCAGCUGAAGGAUCUAACUUCACGCUUCUUGCUCAGUCAGUGGAUUGCAUUACUCUUGUGGGAUUGUCUGUUGAGAAGGAGAUGAUCAAUGAUUAUUUUCAAAUGGUUUUGCAAUUGCUUAUCUCCUCGAAAGCAUCUAAAAUAGGGACAGGACAUCCAAUGAGAAAUCAACUGUUAAAAGCAUGGGGCAGCUUAUGUAAAUGCUUAGGCCAAGACUUCCAACCUUACCUGGGUGUUGCCAUUCCUCUGUUGCUUCAAUCUGCUCAACUUGCGUCACAUGUCACUUCACUAAAAGUUUCUGAAAGUAAACAUUCAUUUGAAAGCAUUGUCACUCUUCAAGAUCAAAUAAGUGAGAUCAAAUCAGAGGUCUUGGAGGAGAAAGCCACAGCUUGUAAAGUGUUGUGUAUCUGUGCUGAUGAGUUGAAGGAAGGCUUCAAUUUAUGGACUGAUGAGGCUGCUCAGACCUUAGUUCCACUUAUCAAUUACGAUAUCCAUGAAGAACUUAGAACCAUUUCUAUUUCAGCUAUGCCAGUAAUAUUGAAAUCAUCUAAAGCAGCAAUGGAGAAAGAGUGCACUGAGGGGUCUGACGAUUCAUCUUUCAAGAAACUGUGUUCUUACAUUACACCAGCUUUAGUAGAAGCUCUAAAUAAGGAAAAGUUAACAGAAAUUCAAGUAAGAAUUUUAGAGUCGCUGAACGAAUGUAUGGAGAUCUCUGGACCUACCCUGAACACAGAACAGACCAACUACUUCUUGCAUAUAAUAAUGGAGAUUAUCAAAACUUGUUCUGCCCUUCUAGGAAGCCAAGUGGAAAAUGAGCAAACAGAAAAAAUUCAUAACAAAGCUUUUGGUUGCUUGACCACUUUCACUAAAGCAUAUAAGACUUCCUUGUCACAAUUCUUUGACCAGCUCUUAUCAUGCAUGGCAUAUAUGUGGGAGAACGAUAGAAAAGCAGAAGAGAGAAGAACUGCCUUGCAUAUUUUCAGUGAUGUUGCAGAGAAAUGCCAAGAAGAAGCAUUGAGGUACUGUGAGAAUAGUCUUCAAUUCCUAUUUGACGCCUGCUGUGAGAAGAACCCAGAAGUUCAACAGACAGUCGCACAGGGAAUUGGUGUUAGUGCAGAGUUUGGUGGAUCUAUAUUCAAAUCUCAUAUCAAAGAGGCUCUUGCUGGUCUAAAUGCUAUCAUGCGGGAUCAAGAGACACUGCAUCUAGAUUACUUACUAGCCCAUGACGCAGCUGUUUCUGCACUUGGAAAAAUAUGCCUUUGCCAUUAUGAGAGACUAGAUGAAGUUAAGUUACCCUUGUUUUCAUCAACAUCAUAAUUUCUGAAGCUAACAUUAGCACUCGGCAAUCAUCCAUAUUUAAUAGCAAGUUCAUAUUUUUGUCAACUUUCUUGAAGUAAACAUCUUUGCUCAAGUGAUUUGUGAGUCAUGUCAUCUUACUCUUGCAAGUUCAUGUUUUUGUCUUCUCCAUUCUUAAUUAUGCUCUUAUUUCUUACUUAUAACUUUUAUUUAACUUAGAGAAAAUUUUGUUUAUAGUUUUGCUACUGGCUACACUGCUACAGUAAUACUACUUCUAGCACAUAAAGCUUCUUAGUAAAUCUGUCAUAUGGGCACCAAAACUUCUGAAUAACCUAUGAUAAUACCGCAAUUAACAAUGAUUUAAAUUAAAUUAAAAACAUUGUUUGGAAGGAAGCAUAAACUAUUAUUUUCCUAAGCAUUCUGACAUAUGGCCUUGUCCAUUGGAAAACUGCCACCUCUCCUUCACAACAAGUUCAUCUGGACCAGCCAUUUCAGUCAGGCUGUGGGUGAUACUAUUAGUGUGGGUAGAAUUUACCAAGAAAAGAUAUCUCUCAUCCAUAGAAUUUGUAAGAUUGUAAACUGCAUUCAUGAAAAGGCCACAAUAUUAACUGUCUGGACUCUGGACCUCAGGUUAAUACUAGGCGUAUAGUUUACUCAAUCACAUAAUCCAUUAAUCUUAAAGUUUAGCAAUAAAUACUAAUGUAUCAAAUUUCAAUUGGAAUACAUGAUCCUUAGUCCUUGGGACAAUUUCAUCACCUUGUAUCGACUAUUUUACUUGUAUUUUGCAUCAUUAAUCACAGAAUGGUCAGAUAUCCCUAGUUCUUACAGUGAUUUUGUGAUGUUACUUGUAAUUUAUUGAACAGGUGUUUGGUAUAUGGUUAAGCCAUUUGCCAAUAGUUAAUGAUCUAGAUGAGGCCAAAGUUGCCCAUGAUCGGCUUUGUUCGAUCGUUGAAAAGUAAGCUGAUUGUAUACCUUAAAUCACUUGUGUAACCAUAAUGUCAGUUUUCCAGUCAUUUUUCGACUUAUUUCAGGUUCAAAGAGGAACUUAUUAGCAGAAAUGAUACUCAUCUUUCCAAGAUCUUUGAAGUCUUUGCAGAGAUAUUAUGGGUUGCUGAUGAUCUGGCCACAGAAGCAACUUUCAAACAAGUGAUUGAACUGUUGAAGCACUUUAAAAGCAAAUUACCACCCGAUACAUGGACAUCUAUUAUAUCCUCCCUGAUACCCUCUCGAGCAAAGAUUUUGCAGCAUUUGAUGUCAUCAUAAUCUGUUCUUUCUGGUAGAUACGACAUAGGUCCUCUUCCAAUUCGUUUCAUCUGAACCGUUAGCUUUUAAGUAUAUCAUGUAAAAUGUAAAAAAAUAAUAAUAAUAAUAAUUGAAGAGCUUAAGACCAAGAGAUUCUCUGCAACAAUGGCGACAAUUUCUAGAGAUUUUUAUAUUUUUAUUUAAUUAUCAGAGGAUAUAAAAAUGGAGUAAGAAAGAGAAGAAGUGGACUGUGUACUGUGGAU